Molecule: ribosomal RNA, 326 nt
Filed under: uncultured eukaryote
Lineage: Eukaryota
Description: partial 18S ribosomal RNA
Rfam family: Eukaryotic small subunit ribosomal RNA
Source: RNAcentral
CCCUUAGAUGUUCUGGGCCGCACGCGCGCUACACUGAUGCAUUCAACGAGCCUAUCCUUGACCGACAGGUCCGGGUAAUCUUUGAAUCUGCAUCGUGACGGGGAUAGAUUAUUGCAAUUAUUAAUCUUCAACGAGGAAUGCCUAGUAGGCGCAAGUCAUCAGCUUGCGUCGAUUACGUCCCUGCCCUUUGUACACACCGCCCGUCGCUCCUACCGAUUGAGUGUGUUGGUGAGGAGUUCGGAUUGGCUCUUAGUGGUGGUUCGCCACCACCUAGAGCUGAGAAGUUCUCCAAACCGCCCCACUUAGAGGAAGGAGAAGUCGUAACA